This 1108-nucleotide long non-coding RNA is filed under the name Mytilus galloprovincialis (Mediterranean mussel). The record is from RNAcentral. Lineage: Eukaryota; Metazoa; Mollusca; Bivalvia; Mytilida; Mytilidae.
UCUUCUUCUUUCAUUUAUAGAAAGAAAGAUAUAUAGAUAUGCUAUUAGUAUUAUUCUUUUUGCUCCAUAGUUGCAUUUUGUAUAAUGGUAGGCAAUGCUGAUAUAAUUCACAGUUUUUAGAAUUUUUUUUAUCUUUAUUUUAAUUCAAUUUUAAGCUGCUUAUUUCUUAUUAUACUAUAUAACUAUAUAUACAAGACAAAUAUCCAUAACAUAGCAAAAGAAAGGUAUUCACAGAAAAAAAUAACUCAACUUUAUGUGUUACCCCUUAUUUGGAGAAUUAGAGUAUACCUCAAUUGCUCAGCAACCUAACAACACAGACCUUUGACAACAACAUUAUAAGUUUUAAAAAAACCAAAACAGGUGUCAUAUCAUUUGCCAAGUUUUAAAUUCUGGUACAGACAAGCUCAUGAUUAUAUAAUGGGCUUAUCCAUGUUUCUGACUUCUUUUCUUUAUUUUAUCAUACAGGGACAUCAGUAGCCAAGUGGUCUACUAGCAGUCAACAAUGGGGUUGUGAGUUCGAACCCCACUUAUGUGGGUGCACUGGACUCCAAUCUUUAUUGACUAGGAUUGUCAGUUUUCCUAUCGAAGGUUGCGGUUUUCUCCUAGUACUCUGGCUUCCUUCAUCAAUAAAAAUUGGCCGACUCAAAAUAGCCAAAAAGUGGCACUUGAAAUUGGCUUUACAACACCAUUAAUCAAUCAAUCAAUCAAUCAUCAUACAAAUUAUUUGUGAGCCAAAAUAUAGAUUUUUUGAUAUAAAUUGAAGUAUAUAAUAACAGGCUAUUAUUCCAAUUUUGAAUUAUUUGUAAUUAUGGAAAUUGCAUAAUUUCUUGUGCUUGAAAUUUUUAAUGAAUUUCAUCUUUAUUCUACAUUAUAAUUUUUAAAGCAUUAUUAUAUUAAUUCGUUGAUAUUUAUUUAUAUUUUUCAAUUUAUAUCAAAACUGCUUAAGAAAAUGCCAAACAAUAACAGCAAAAUAAUUGUAUAUUAACAUGAUGCAUAUCUAACUAAAGAACAAAAUUCCUUAAGAACUUCAGUUAUAAAACUAUGUCCACUGGGAGAAGGCAAUAGAUUAAAAUUUUAAUUAUUUGUAGUUGUGCUGGAAAUGAGCAUG